UUUGAGUGAGUGGCGGACGGGUGAGUAACACGUGGGUAACCUGCCCAAAAGUGGGGGAUAACAUCUGGAAACAGGUGCUAAUACCGCAUAACAACUACUUUCACAUGAUCGUAGCUUGAAAGAUGGCUCUGCUAUCGCUUUUGGAUGGACCCGCGGCGUAUUAGCUAGUUGGUGAGGUAACGGCUCACCAAGGCAAUGAUACGUAGCCGACCUGAGAGGGUAAUCGGCCACAUUGGGACUGAGACACGGCCCAAACUCCUACGGGAGGCAGCAGUAGGGAAUCUUCCACAAUGGGCGAAAGCCUGAUGGAGCAAUGCCGCGUGAGUGAAGAAGGUUUUCGGAUCGUAAAACUCUGUUGUUGAAGAAGAACAUGCGUGAGAGUAACUGUUCACGUACUGACGGUAUUCAACCAGAAAGCCACGGCUAACUACGUGCCAGCAGCCGCGGUAAUACGUAGGUGGCAAGCGUUGUCCGGAUUUAUUGGGCGUAAAGAGAAUGUA
Molecule: ribosomal RNA, 500 nt
Filed under: Lactobacillus sp.
Lineage: Bacteria; Bacillati; Bacillota; Bacilli; Lactobacillales; Lactobacillaceae
Description: bacterial SSU rRNA
Rfam family: Bacterial small subunit ribosomal RNA
Source: RNAcentral